This is a long non-coding RNA of Acinonyx jubatus (cheetah), 778 nucleotides long. RefSeq lists it as uncharacterized. Lineage: Eukaryota; Metazoa; Chordata; Mammalia; Carnivora; Felidae. The transcript is spliced from 3 exons. The record is from RefSeq and is a predicted model, not a curated record.
CAUGCCAAAAGGAAAGUCUACUGUUUAGGCAGUUAUUCUCCACUCCACACUCUGAGCUUCUGGCGACCACAUAUCUGCUCUCUGUUUCAUGGGUUUGUUUAUUUUGGAUGUUUCACAUACCUGGAAUCAUACAGUAUAUGGCUUUUCAUGUCUGGAUUCUUUCACUCAGCGUAAAGUUUUUGAGGUUCAUCCAUGUUGUAGCAGGUAUCGGUACUUCUUUCUUUUUAUGGCCAAAUAAUAUGUAUUCCACUGCAUGGAUUCACAACAUUUGGUGUGUCCAUUCAUUGCUGAUGGACAUUUGAAUUGUUUCCAUGGUUUGGCUAUUGAGAACAGGGAUACUAUGACCAUUCUUAUGAAAUUUCCCCUUCAACUCCCAUUGGACAGGACUGGGCCACAUAUCCACACCCUGACUUCAAGGAGGCUUAGAAAUUGAGUAUGGGGAUUUUCAACUUUUCUUGGAACGUGAGGAAGGCUAUGCUGGCAGAAAAUUUGGACCUGAUAUCUUCCAUUUCUGCCAAGAUAUACCAACGCAAGUAGGUUGAGCCUUGCAGGAGAGCCUCAAAUACAUCAGGUGGCCUGGUUCAGGAAGCUUCUUUGUCCCCCAUGGGCUCAAAACUCUCCCUUCCUCCCUCACUCAAAGACACCAAGGUAGCUAGGGGUCACCAAUAGGGAGAUCCUAACCACAUCUCUCACUUACCAGUAGCUAUCUGGUGGCCUGGCCUGGGGCAACUGCUUUUGUCCUGUCAGACGGCACCAGAGGUACCUGAUAAACCAAGCA